AUGGCCAUAUCACGUUGAAACACCUUGUUCCCAUACAAUCACCAAAGUUAAGCAACAUUGAAUCUGGUCAGUACCUAGAUGGGUGAGUGUUUGGAAAUGCUAAGUGUUG
Molecule: non-coding RNA, 109 nt
Organism: Acanthosepion pharaonis
Lineage: Eukaryota; Metazoa; Mollusca; Cephalopoda; Sepiida; Sepiidae
Source: the annotation of a GenBank genome assembly